This is a long non-coding RNA of Suricata suricatta (meerkat), 3306 nucleotides long. RefSeq lists it as uncharacterized. The record is from RefSeq and is a predicted model, not a curated record. Lineage: Eukaryota; Metazoa; Chordata; Mammalia; Carnivora; Herpestidae. The transcript has 2 exons.
UCCCCUGACCUUGGGAUCAUGACCUGAGCUGAAAUCAAGAGUCAGAUGCUCAACUGACUGACAUCCAGGUGUCUCUCAAAUUUCUUCUAUAUUCUUCCAGCCAAAGAAGCUGAAGAGUUUUCUUGACUCCCCCUUGAGCCUCCUAGUAACCUCUGCCCCGCUAGCCUUGCAGCCUCUCGACAGCACGUCCAUUACGGUUUUGUUCCAGCGCGAGGAACCCCGCCGAGGCGUUGUGCGUGUGGUGUUCAUUUCAGUUGUUCCGUCAGGCCCUUCAACCUCCGUGGUUUCGUGUGGUCCCAACACAGCCCCUGAGACUCUGCUGGUGCGACAGGAGCGCCUCCGUCUUACAGAGGAGAAAACCAGCCCAGAGAAGUCAGGUGGUUUAAGCAGGUCACAUCACAAACUGGGAAUCAGAAAGUAAAGAGCUUUGUACUUUCUGGAAAUCAUGCAAUUGUCCUGUUUGGCUACAGGACAAUUCCUUUUCCCAUUGACUAUUUACUACGUUCUCUGACGUGAAGACAAGCGUGUGCGCCCUGUCCAGGGUGAGCGCUAGAUGUUGAAGUCUAACUGAAGUUGCUGAGCCAACGGAAGCAUUAUUUUUUUUCCAUCCAGAAAGCCCGUCUGCCUUCUCUUAGUAGGUGUCCCUGGGCUUGCAGCCACUGUAAACUGCCAGGCGGACAGUGGGUGCCUGGUCCCCACGCGGGAGAGGGACGCUUUGCGGGCUCCCUGUGAGUCAUCCGUGGCCCCGCCGGAGGGAGCAGCGUGUAAGGAGCACGACGAGGGAGGAAGAGAGCAGGGUGGCGUCUGCGGGAGCGGUUUCGGCUCCUAAGAUGCAGGCCUGCGUGGAGACGGCCUGAGUCGGGUGAAGGUGGACACUAGAGGUGAGGGGGACCCGGAAUCACAAGACUGGAUGGGCAGCAGCUUGCGGCUGAAAUCGAGAAGAUGGAGAGGAAGCCCAGGGGCGAGUGCUCUCAGAGUGAGCUGGGCUGGGACAUCACAUGUGCUGCCCGGGAUGCCCUGGGCUUGUGGCUGGCAGCCCAACUCCUGUACUUGGUGAAGGGGGAUCACGAGCCACGAAGGAUGGCGACAAGAAGUGAGGAUCAUGUGCUCUGGAGGGAGAAGUGAGAAGAGCCUCUGUGUGAUUCUAGCCCACAGAAGUCAAAACAGAAAAGCAGGCGCCUGGGUGGCGGCCCAGUCAGGUGUUGUGCUAAGGAUACAGCGGUGUCAAAGCGGACCUGUGGUCUUUGCCCUCGAGCGAAUACAGAAGUGUGAGCUGGCGCGUGGACACAGCACGCUCCUCAGCCUUCACAGUUCACACGUCUUGCUCCUCUGCCCGGGACACUUGCCCUCUUCUGCAGCUGUAAACCGCUACCCGCUCUGUGAAACAUUUCCCGGACUUUUUCAACCCCCCAACUUGCAGAAUGAGGAGCUCCUUUCUCUACAUUUCAGACUCCCCUGUGUGUCCUUUAUACAGAUGGCCCUAACUACAGGGACAGUCUGUGUGUCUUCUUACAGACUAGACUUCGGGGGCAGUGGAUCCUGGGAGGCAAGGGAAUUUUUUCUUUAUUCUCAUAUCCUCAGAGCCUAGUACAGGAAUAAAUGAAUAUAUGUUUUGCUAAGAUAUGUCACAUUAGGGUAUGUGAAGAAGACCGCAGCAUAAAACCACUGUCCCCACCAGGAUGGAGCCCAUUCUGCCACAGAACGCCUUCCCCAGGGUCACGUGGAGAACACUGAGGUUGGACGUGGGGGAGAGGUUCAGUCCCAUGUGUCAACAGCAAGAAAACUGAAUCCUGAAAACUUAUGACCUACAGAGGCUUAAACUCUGUCUGGAUCCUAGGUCAACACCACCGAGAACAGGGUACAGAAGGGACUGUAUGUUUUAUGUCCAAGUGAAUGAGACUAAAUCCCCUCUAUGCUGAUUCCAUUUUGAAAUCAAACUAAUAAUAUAUAGGAUUUAUAAUCUGAAUGACACAGAUUUUAGCUAUUAUAUUAUAUAGUAAAUGUUCAAUACACAUUUGCAAAAUAAAUGAAAAUAAGAUUUGGACUGAUCUUCAUAUACCACUAAGGAAUCUAAGCACAAUGGAAGAAUUUCUGAUCAACAGAGGGCUACUUAACAAAUGUUAGUAUAAAAGAGAUUAUACUCUUUAGCGUGUGAUACGCUUCCACGAGGGAACAAAACACGAAGGUGCUGUCUGCUAAGUGGGGGGCCGGGAGCGGGCACCCCGGAAGUGACCGGCUCCACUCAACAAGUCCAUCCUGUCCUGUUGGAAGCACGAGGAAGGAGAGUCCACCUAUUUCCAAUGCGUAGGAUCCUACCCAGAUUCUUUCUGGUUGUCACACUAUGAAUGAAGACGGGGAGAUGGAGGGUUAACAGGAAUUGUCACGGUCUUUACUCAGGGGGUUUGCAGUAGACAUUAGAAUUCUGCAGUGUCUAAAGCAGCCAUAAAGAGUCAAGUGAGGGCCAAGAGUGUCUAAUACAGGUCAGUGAGUAACUGACAGUGGCUUCUAGAAUGAGGAAGAGGACGGAGUGGUGGUUCUUUUCUCAAAUCCCUCACAAUCACUGCAGAGUCCUCUCUCUCAGAACAUAAGCCCAAAUUCUAAGAAUAAAUGAAAUCUUUUGUUCAUGAAGUCCCACCUCUGAGGCAGGGAAGUUGCACAGCAGCUCAAUGCUGCCACUGAUCUCUGGUUGGCAGUUACAGACCGAGGAGGCCUGACAAACACUGUUCUUUUAAAUGAAAACUGAAAAAAAGAAUUGCUUCUAUAUCCACUGAUUUUAAAGUCGACAAUAUUAUGAUAGGAAAAGGUAGGAUAAAAUAGGCAGAGAGGGAAAGGUUAGGACCUGGAGUCUCUGCAUCCAGAAAAACAUAUAUGUUUUGGAACAAUGCUGGGAGCAUGUGACUACAGCAAACCCCCAUAGGCGUAAGGUCCCACUUAGGAAUGUAACAGACCCCACCCCGCCGCUCCCCCUUGUGUUUCCCUCAGGGAUUUGACAGUCAAAAUACCUAACUAAAAAAGCAACCCAUAAAACCUGUGUUACAGGAGGGGCAGUGUGACCAGUCUGACUCCUCAUACAGUGGAACUGAGUCAACCAGGAAUGGACUACCCAGCACCUAGACUGUCCAGCCAAUAAGGGUGGGGCCUGAGAAGAACAGGAGGGAAGGGAAGGGGGGAAGCCACCAGAGAAACUUCUACACAAAGGCCCUUGCCUAUAGUCACAGGCUUUCGAAUGUCCCCUCUGUCAAGAGAGCUUCCAUACUCUUCUUCCUUUCUGCUAUUACACUCAAAUAAACUUUUGCCUACAGCUCA